AAAAUGUUAAUAAUAGAAAUAUAUCAACAUUAAAAAUAAUAAUAAAUUUUUUUUAUUUUCAAACAAACAAUUUCUAUCCCAUUUAUUUUUAACAUCUUUUUUAUUUGUUCAUCACCACUACAAGAGAUUGUUUGCUUAAUAAUAUAGAAAGUUUAUUUAUUCCAUAGGGUGCAUAAUAAUAAUAAUACGUUUCUGCAUGUUCAAGCAGCUGGUGAUUGUGUAAUUGCACCCACCAUGUCUAGUGCUACACAGGGUUGAUCAACAGGUACCUGUAGCAGUCACCAACCAAAUAAAACAUUAUAAUUUCAUACUAUUUUAUUUUCUUUUAUCUUUCUACUUAUUUCCUCAACUACUUUUUUAUUUUUGUAUAAAUAUAUGUCAGUAUACAUAUAUACCAUUAUGCAGGUUUUUAGUAAGAUAUAUUAAUAAAAAAAUAAUUUAUAUCAUACUUUAUAGUUACAGUUUUUAAAAAGAAAAUAUAAAAAUUAUUAAGUUUAACCAAUACAUAGAUGCUUACUUAAUUUUCUUGAUGAACCAUAAAGAGUAUAUUCCUUAGUGUCUCUCUCACACACACAACUAGUUUAUUUUUCCAAUUAUAAAUGUAAAUAAUAAAUUAUUAAAGUAAAAUAGACUUCUUAUAUCUAAGAUGAGCACUCAUGAUCAUAGAUUAAAAAAAUCAGCAUUUAUUAUUAUAUAUAAAUAAAUAAUAAAAAUAUGUUAAAAUAUCCAGUAUUGUUAUGUUAUUAACUACUAAAAUUACUCACUUUAUUUUUUUUAAUUAUAUAAUAAGUAAAUCUUAAAAUGUGAAGGUUCACUCUGAAUUUAGAUUCUUUAUUGCAGUUUGGUACUGUCAUUUUCUUAUACUUCAAAAUACACUAAUGUAUAUUAUUUUAAUGGUUUAAAAUAUUUUUAAAAAAAAAUUAAGAUAUCAAUAUCACUGUAUUUUGAAGAUUUUAACAAAGAAUCAGUACCAUAAAAAUAUCAGAAAACUUCAACUGAGUUCACCUCACACCAAA
This 1016-nucleotide long non-coding RNA is filed under the name Vigna radiata. Its description in RNAcentral is "long non-coding RNA (VRAD_LNC002820)". Lineage: Eukaryota; Viridiplantae; Streptophyta; Magnoliopsida; Fabales; Fabaceae. The record is from RNAcentral.